This 460-nucleotide ribosomal RNA is filed under the name uncultured bacterium. RNAcentral's name for it is "partial 16S ribosomal RNA". It matches the Rfam family "Bacterial small subunit ribosomal RNA", at positions 338 to 795 of the family's 1533-position model. The record is from RNAcentral.
CCUACGGGGGGCAGCAGUGAGGAAUAUUGGUCAAUGGACGAGAGUCUGAACCAGCCAAGUAGCGUGAAGGAUGACUGCCCUAUGGGUUGUAAACUUCUUUUAUAAGGGAAUAAAACGAGGCACGUGUGCCUGUUUGCAUGUACUUUAUGAAUAAGGAUCGGCUAACUCCGUGCCAGCAGCCGCGGUAAUACGGAGGAUCCGAGCGUUAUCCGGAUUUAUUGGGUUUAAAGGGAGCGUAGGUGGGUUGUUAAGUCAGUUGUGAAAGUUUGGGGCUCAACCGUAAAAUUGCAAUUGAUACUGGCAGUCUUGAGUACAGGUGAGGUAGGCGGAAUUCGUGGUGUAGCGGUGAAAUGCUUAGAUAUCACGAAGAACCCCGAUUGCGAAGGCAGCUUACUAAACUGUGACUGACAUUGAUGCUCGAAAGUGUGGGUAUCAAACAGGAUUAGAUACCCGAGUAGUC